AAAACCCUGCUAUGUUCGUGAUCAACCGCAAAAGUUUUGAGCUAACAUCAAUUAAGAAGGGAGCCCGGACUUUAACUGUGGAAUAUAGGCCUCCGUUUGUAGAGGACAUAUGAAGCAGUUAAGAGGGCACCCACUUGUGGGGAGAGCAGUUCAAAACAACGGUCCCACGGCAUAGUGGGGUUUAU
Molecule: non-coding RNA, 185 nt
Filed under: Bacillota bacterium
Lineage: Bacteria; Bacillati; Bacillota
Description: Firmicutes bacterium (anaerobic digester metagenome) 6S RNA
Rfam family: 6S / SsrS RNA
About the family: E. coli 6S RNA was the first non coding RNA to be sequenced, but its function was unknown until recently. It consists of 184 nucleotides that fold into an extended hairpin structure with a large single-stranded internal bulge.
Source: RNAcentral